Molecule: non-coding RNA, 1144 nt
Organism: Podarcis lilfordi (Lilford's wall lizard)
Lineage: Eukaryota; Metazoa; Chordata; Lepidosauria; Squamata; Lacertidae
Source: the annotation of a GenBank genome assembly
CCAAAGGCCACGAUAAGAACAGGAAGCAGAACUAUAUGAGCCUCUGCUCCAAUCCAGCAAAUUUAUUGAUGUGCAGCAUUCGCAAGUUGUGGCUCAUGAAUGUGGCAGGAAGGAGCACAACAACUACAUGUCUGUGACUUUUGGCGUGGGAUUUCUGUUUGAGAUCCAUUAUCAGUGACGCCAGUGCAAGAGGGCAGCCUGACCAGAAAACUGGUAAGAAGCAGCUUAGGGGGAACCUAAUGCUGAUUGUUGACGUGAAAAACAGCUCCAAAUAAGGUACAGUGGUACCUCGGGUUACAUGCGCUUCAGGUUACAUACGCUUCAGGUUACAGACUCCGCUAACCCAGAAAUAGUACCUCAGGUUAAGAACUUUGCUUCAGGAUGAGAACAGAAAUCGCAUGGCGGCGGCGCGGCGGCAGCAGGAGGCCCCAUUAGAUAAAGUGGUGCUUCAGGUUAAGAACAGUUUCAGGUUAAGAACGGACCUCUGUAACGAAUUAAGUACUUAACCCGAGGUACCACUGUACAAGGAAGGCUCUGCAUGUACAGUAAAAAAAGGGGGGAGUGAAUAAUGUUUUCAAGAAUUGUGAUUGGAUGAGAGAUGGUGGGGCGAUGGGGUGGCAGAAGGUGGUUGGGAAGAGGAUGAAACAGCUGAGAUGAUGUAAAAGUAAAAGGUAAAGGACCCCUGGAAGGUUAAGUCCAGUCAAAGGUGACUAUGGGGUUGUGACACUCAUCUCGCUUUCAGGCCAAGGGAGCCGGCAUUUGCCCACAGACAGCUUUCCGGGUCAUGUGGCCAGCAAGACUAAACCACUUCUGGGGCAACAGAACACCGUGAUGGAAACCAGAGCACACAGAAAUGCCGUUUACCUUCCUGCCACAGUGGUACCUAUUUAUCUACUUGCACUGGUAUGUUUUCAAACUGCUAGGUUGGCAGGAGCUGGGAAAGAGCAACGAGAGCUCACCUCAUAGUGGGGAGUCGAACCGCCAACCUUCUGAUCAGCAAGCCCAAGAGGCUCAGUGGUUUGGACCACAACGCCCCCCGUGUCCCUGAGAUGAGGUCUAUUUGCCUAUAUAGUGUGUCAUAAAGAACACCUAAUGAACACAGAUUCUUUGAACCCUAUCCUGUAAUGCAUUACUGAAUAAAGUC